AAUGAACGCUGGCGGCGCGCCUAAUACAUGCAAGUCGAGCGAGAAGACGUAGCAAUACGUUUGUAAAGCGGCGAACGGGUGAGGAAUACAUGGGUAACCUACCCUCGAGUGGGGAAUAACUAGCCGAAAGGUUAGCUAAUACCGCGUACGCUCCUUGGACUUCGGUUCAGGGAGGAAAGCGAUACCGUGGGUAUCGCGCUCUUGGUUGGGCUCAUGUCCUAUCAGCUUGUUGGGAGGUAACGGCUCACCAAGGCUUCGACGGGUAGCUGGUCUGAGAGGACGAUCAGCCACACUGGCACUGCGACACGGGCCAGACUCCUACGGGAGGCAGCAGUAAGGAAUAUUGCGCAAUGGGCGAAAGCCUGACGCAGCGACGCCGC
Molecule: ribosomal RNA, 380 nt
Filed under: uncultured bacterium
Lineage: Bacteria
Description: bacterial SSU rRNA
Rfam family: Bacterial small subunit ribosomal RNA
Source: RNAcentral